GCUGGGGUAGCUCAGUAGGUAGAGCAUUUCCAUGGUAAGGAAAAGGUCGUGGGUUCGAUUCCCACUCCCAGCU
This 73-nucleotide transfer RNA is filed under the name Candidatus Avelusimicrobium gallicola. RNAcentral's name for it is "tRNA-Thr". It matches the Rfam family "tRNA". From Rfam's summary of the family: Transfer RNA (tRNA) molecules are approximately 80 nucleotides in length. Lineage: Bacteria; Pseudomonadati; Elusimicrobiota; Elusimicrobia; Elusimicrobiales; Elusimicrobiaceae. The record is from RNAcentral. RNAcentral also lists the same sequence under 1 other name.